UGGGGAAUCUUAGACAAUGGGCGCAAGCCUGAUCUAGCCAUGCCGCGUGAGUGAUGAAGGCCUUAGGGUCGUAAAGCUCUUUCGCCAGGGAUGAUAAUGACAGUACCUGGUAAAGAAACCCCGGCUAACUCCGUGCCAGCAGCCGCGGUAAUACGGAGGGGGUUAGCGUUGUUCGGAAUUACUGGGCGUAAAGCGYACGUAGGCGGAUUAUWAAGUGAGAGGUGAAAUCCCRGGGCUCAACCCUGGAACUGCCUUYWAWACUCGUAGUCUWGAGUUCGAGAGAGGUGAGUGGAAUUCCGAGUGUAGAGGUGAAAUUCGUAGAUAUUCGGAGGAACACCAGUGGCGAAGGCGGCUCACUGGCUCGAUACUGACGCUGAGGUGCGAAAGUGUGGGGAGCAAACAGGAUUAGAUACCCUGGUAGUCCACGCGCGUAAAAGAGAAUGCCAAACGUAGGGAAGCAUACUUUCGGGGCACACA
This 477-nucleotide ribosomal RNA is filed under the name uncultured bacterium. Its description in RNAcentral is "bacterial SSU rRNA". It matches the Rfam family "Bacterial small subunit ribosomal RNA", at positions 355 to 854 of the family's 1533-position model. The record is from RNAcentral.